AGUGAACGCUGGCGGUAGGCCUAACACAUGCAAGUCGAACGGCAGCACAGUAAGAGCUUGCUCUUACGGGUGGCGAGUGGCGGACGGGUGAGGAAUACAUCGGAAUCUACUUUUUCGUGGGGGAUAACGUAGGGAAACUUACGCUAAUACCGCAUACGACCUACGGGUGAAAGCAGGGGAUCUUCGGACCUUGCGCGAUUGAAUGAGCCGAUGUCGGAUUAGCUAGUUGGCGGGGUAAAGGCCCACCAAGGCGACGAUCCGUAGCGGGUCUGAGAGGAUGAACAGCCACACUGGAACUGAGGCACGGUCCAGACUCCUACGGGAGGCAGCAGUAGGGAAUAUUGGACAAUGGGCGGAAGCCUGAUCCAGCCAUACCGCGUGGGUGAAGAAGGCCUUCGGGUUGUAAAGCCCUUUUGUUGGGAAAGAAAAGCAUCAGGUUAAUACCCCGAUGUUCUGACGGUACCCAAAGAAUAAGCACCGGCUAACUUCGUG
This 492-nucleotide ribosomal RNA is filed under the name uncultured bacterium. RNAcentral's name for it is "partial 16S ribosomal RNA". It matches the Rfam family "Bacterial small subunit ribosomal RNA", at positions 29 to 507 of the family's 1533-position model. The record is from RNAcentral.